GGGAGCUUGGAUGUGGAAGCUCUUUGGAAACCAAGAAACACUCUGCAAAUGAAAAGGGUGGAAGAGUAAACUGUUCCCGUUUCUCCAAAUUGACAGGAAGCAGAAGUUCUCCUUAGCUGAUUUUUCUUCUUGCCUUAUACUGGGUUCUUUAACACCAGAACAAAAAUAAAUAAAUAAAAGAAUCUUCCAGAAAUUCAUGAAGAGACUUCAGGUCAGGAAAGCCUGAACUUUCUCAUCUAACACCUGUUCAAGUCGGAGGAUGCUGAUUAAUUCAUGAUGGAAAGGUAUCAAUUUCACAGCCCAGACUUCUACAUUCUUGAAAUGCUGUUCUCAUGGGAGACAUUAAAUAAGCUUUGAAAUAACUGGACUUAUCUUCCUCAGUUCCCUGUGGGGAACUUUUGUAGAGCCACACGAAAGGAGGUUUUUAGCUCUCACCUAUGGUCUUCAUCAUGCACCUCCUAGAUUCAAAAGUUCAGCAGGGGCAUGUCAAGCUAUAUAAAUAAAAACAAACUAAGACAAAAAUGUAACAUUCCAUACCUUAAAAUGCAACCUUAAUAACGUGAAAGACCCUGAAGGACUUGAGAUGUGAAGAUUUUCUACCACGGUCUUUGCAUGUAUUAUUUCUGACAGCUGUUCCUUUCUAUUCCCUCUUGCACACAUCUUUAGUUACUCCCUGUUCUCCAUCCCUCUGAUAAAAUCUAGUUCCCCC
Molecule: non-coding RNA, 709 nt
Filed under: Pongo abelii (Sumatran orangutan)
Lineage: Eukaryota; Metazoa; Chordata; Mammalia; Primates; Hominidae
Source: RNAcentral